RNAcentral lists this ribosomal RNA (623 nucleotides) under uncultured archaeon. Its description in RNAcentral is "bacterial SSU rRNA". It matches the Rfam family "Archaeal small subunit ribosomal RNA", at positions 146 to 774 of the family's 1478-position model. The record is from RNAcentral.
AUAAUACUCCAUAGAUUAGAGACACUGGAAUGUUCUUUAGUCGAAAGUUCUGGCGCCUUAGGAUGGAUCUGCGGUCGAUUAGGUUGUUGUUGGGGUAACGGCCCAACAAGCCUGUAAUCGAUACGGGUUGUGGGAGCAAGAGCCCGGAGAUGGAAUCUGAGACACGAUUCCAGGCCCUACGGGGCGCAGCAGGCGCGAAAACUUUACAAUGCAGGAAACUGUGAUAAGGGAACUCCGAGUGCCCGUAUACGCGGGCUGUCCAGGUGUUUAAAAAUCAUCUGAAGAAAGGGCCGGGCAAGACCGGUGCCAGCCGCCGCGGUAAUACCGGCGGCUCGAGUGGUGGCCACUAUUAUUGGGCUUAAAGCGUCCGUAGCUGGACCGAUAAGUCUCUUGGGAAAUCCGCCGGCUCAACCGGCGGGCGUCUAAGGGAUACUGUUAGUCUAGGGACCGGGAGAGGUGAGAGGUACUCCGGGGGUAGGAGUGAAAUCCUGUAAUCCCCGGGGGACCACCGAUGGCGAAGGCAUCUCACCAAAACGGCUCCGACAGUGAGGGACGAAAGCUGGGGGAGCGAACCGGAUUAAAUACCCGGGUAUUCCCAGCCGUAAACUAUGCGCGUUAGGUGU